GCAUUGUUGACGAGUGCCAAAUAAGAUGAAACGGCCGUCCAGUGC
Molecule: non-coding RNA, 45 nt
Filed under: Schistosoma mattheei
Lineage: Eukaryota; Metazoa; Platyhelminthes; Trematoda; Strigeidida; Schistosomatidae
Source: RNAcentral